RNAcentral lists this long non-coding RNA (2947 nucleotides) under Triticum aestivum (bread wheat). RNAcentral describes it as "long non-coding RNA (TAES_LNC025139)". The record is from RNAcentral. Lineage: Eukaryota; Viridiplantae; Streptophyta; Magnoliopsida; Poales; Poaceae.
CCUCCUCCAGGUCGCCGCCGUCACACACUGCCUCAGGUCCGUUGAUCUCUCUCCUCCUCGCCACUCUUCACUGCCAGCCCCACACAGCUCUGCCUCCACGGCGGGGAUUCACUCUAUGGCGUUCAAGAGAGGUGGCUGCAGCCGCCAUGCUGCCGAUCCGGUCCUUGCUGCUGGAUCCGGACCUCUCCACCCCUCCUCCCGGUCCGAUCCAAUGGCGUUCGCACGGCGUCGAUCUCCCGGAUGGCGUGAGGUCCUAGCGGCAACGUCAGGCCCCUUGCGAUUGGGGUCAAUUUGAGGUGGCUCCGGUGGAAACGUGGAACACAUCCCAUUGUUACAGGGGCUCCCGAGGCGACAUCCAGUUGCUCUGCGUGCGGGGGUUAUUUUCACCUCUGUUUGCUUUUGCUUUCGUUGUCCGCGCUCAAUCUCUGUGGCUGGUGGUGCAAGCUCCGCAUGCACUCGUCCGAGCUUGCCGAGCAGUCUGCACUGAAGCAAACUCACUGGUCGUCCUUUUCCUUUUCAGUUUGAGAUAGACAGAAGUAUGUAUGUGUCGUUCGUUCGUUGUAGUUGCUGCUGUUCAAAUCUCAGCAUCAUUAUACAGUACCGGCCAUUCUCGCUGACACUAACGGUACUUGGAGAUUUACCAACAAUGGCAGUAGACAUCUUCCUAAACUCCGUUCACACUGCCGGCCCCCAAUUUGUUUCCAUUCCCUGACAUGCAUAAGAUAUCUGCGAUAUUUGCCGAAUUAUUAUUUGCAGGUUUGAAGUACCAGGGCACAAUGGCUGAUAGGGCACUGGAGGAACUGCACACCAUGGUUCAGACACCAACUUCCCUGAUGCGACCAACUCAUCAGUUCAGUGAGCAUUGUAUCCUCUUACUGUUGCCAUAAUUACAUGCAUUUCACUUUUGCAUUAUAUGUGUACUAUUGCAUGGUAGUUGAACACGAAUUUGGGUUACUUGACAUCGUAAAAUAUGGUGGCUACUCUUGGAUCCGGUGAAUCUGGUGGUUCUGCUUAUAUUAUGUAUUGUGGGACUAUUGAGUUCACAACGCUUUCCAAAUACUCAUAUGUGAUUUCUUUUUGAUUUAUACUCGUGCAGAAAAAAUCUUGAUUCUUGAAUUGUUGAAGGCAGCUGUAGCUAAGGCUGGUUACACUAGAAGAAUUUUUUUGUCUAUACAUAGUUCAUGAUUCAGCCCUUGUGUACUAAUUCAUGUGUGACGGUUGGUCAUUGAACUGGAUGUUGCUGCUUCUGAAUGUUACGGUGAAAAGGAUCAGACUCAUCAGCCUCGAUUUUCUUGUGUCUUGAAAUGCAGGUUUGGUUCAUCUAACACUAUAUUACGUCCAUUUGUCCAGUUCAAUUUUUUUUACCAUCUUGCAAUGCGAGGUACAAGAGAGCAUGUGUUGUUCUAUGUCUUAUAUCCUGUUAAAUCCUGUAGGGGAACGACAUUGUAAGCUUGGUUAGUUUGAUGUCCUACGGAGAAGCAAAAUUGGUUGUGCCCACUGCCAGAAGAUUCAUCUUUGUACUCUCUUCUCCAUUUAUCAGUGCAACGAGAGGCAGAGUUAGUCAUGGUGAUGAUCAUAUUGUAUUAUUGUGAUGCUUGCAGACUGGGAGUGUAUUUAUACUUCAUGCUUAUGAGUUAUGAUGAAUCAUUUCGAUGGCAUUACAUAGGUCAGUGGGAAAAGGUCAUUAGGGACUAGCAUGUUUCACUGUUGUGAUUACAAACUAAAACUUGUGCAAGUAUGAUAAAUGGGUGCAUUGAUCUCUUUUUUGUUGUAGUGCAACACCUUGGAGAUGCACACAAUUUGAUAUUACAGUUCUAUAACAUCUCGGAGAUGCACACAAGUUGGUGCCUCUUUUUCUACUAUCAAUGAUGUUUGCUGCAGAGAUUUUACUUGAGUUGUGGUUCUUGGUUGAAAGCCCCUUUUCAUCAUAGUUUACUUGAAGGCAGCUUGAGUCAUCUUUGGAAGCAAUAUUUCUAAGUUUUUUAUUUAUAAAGAACCAUGUUAUAUUUGUUUGUUUUUUGUAUAAGCGGCAGAUCUUUUAAACAGAUAUUGUGAUUAAAAUUAUGACAGCAUGGAUGUUCAUCACUAUUCUUUUUGGACUUGAAUAGAUCUAUGUCUAAAUUACACAUAAUGUCUACGAGUAAAUUAUUAUAGAUUGACUUUCAUGUCGACGUCUUUCUUGGAUCUGUGAUGAAGCAUAGUCAUCUUAGUACUAUGUUGCUUUCUACAUGUCUUCUCAUGACCUUAUUACAGAUUCUGUUUAUAUGGUUUUAAACAAAUAUGAUAUUUUUGUAGCACAUUUCGUAUAAGUUUUUCUCCUACUACAGAGAUAACUUUAGUUUAGUCCGUAAACUUGCAGGUCAGUUCUGAUGUAUGUUCAAUAGCUCAAUUUUGUUUUGACCUACUACAUUUAGUCAAUGUUAGCUCUAGCAUCAACACUAACUGUCACUCUCAUGCCACCCCAUGGACGCCUCUGACCCAGAGUUUCCUUCUGCAGUUUGUUGAAAAUGAAGUGCUUCCACCAGCAUGAGUAUUCCAUGAAAAUCAGACUUAAUGUUGGUAAAACAUGAUGCUCCAGUAUCUAUAGAUAUCAUCUAGAUCAAGGAUAUAAAUUAUCAUCUGCAUCCCUAUGUUGUGUUUUGACGGAUGGUUGUGGCUGAACCCGCAAAUCCUCAUUCAGAUUUAGAUGUACAGGAUAAGAGUGUCGAGAAAGUCAAUAUAUGGCUUAGUGCGGCACAUAAGUUGUCUACUAGGUAGUUAUGCAGACAUCCUUCCACCUAGGUGCUUAUGCACACGUGUACUUUCUGUUGUAGUAGUUAAUUGAAGUCUUUGUUUUUUUAAUAUGGUUUCUUAAGAUCUAAUUUUAGUCAGUAAACUUGCAGGUCAGUUCUGAUGUACUCCCUCCGGUCCUUUUUACUCUGCACAUCGGAUUUGCCGAAAGUCAAAC